Molecule: ribosomal RNA, 336 nt
Filed under: uncultured bacterium
Lineage: Bacteria
Description: bacterial SSU rRNA
Rfam family: Bacterial small subunit ribosomal RNA
Source: RNAcentral
AACGAACGCUGGCGGCGUGGAUUAGGCAUGCAAGUCGAACGGAAUUCUUAGCUGUUUCGAGAAUUUAGUGGCGAAAGGGUGAGUAACGCGUGGGUAACCUGCCCAAAGGAUUGGGAUAACCUGUCGAAAGACGGGCUAAUACCGGAUAAGACCACGCUCCCGUAAGGGAGUGAGGUCAAAGAUGGGGACCGUAAGGCCUAUCGUCUUUGGAGGGCCCGUGUCCUAUCAGCUAGUUGGUGAGGUAACGGCCCACCAAGGCUAAGACGGGUAGCUGGCCUGAGAGGGUGGUCAGCCACAUCGGGACUGAGACACUGCCCGGACUCCUACGGGAGGCAG